Molecule: long non-coding RNA, 1131 nt
Organism: Camelina sativa (false flax)
Lineage: Eukaryota; Viridiplantae; Streptophyta; Magnoliopsida; Brassicales; Brassicaceae
Source: RefSeq, a predicted model, not a curated record
UAAAAAACUCUCUAAAAAUAUAUUUGCUGGGUUUCUCCCAAUCUGGGAGCUGGCUUAUCGAUUCAGUGUUUUAUGAAUACUUAAUCGAUCGUUUAUUGAUUUCUUGUCUCGUUGGUGCGAUUGUGGAUUUGUCUUGUCUCGAUGGUGUGGCUGAAACAUGCUUUGUGCCCAUUGUUGAUAAGAGGACAAGGAAAGGAGCUAGCUAAUCGAGGAGCUUUAAUUUUAGGUUUUCAAUAUAUGGUUUUCUACUUCUACACUUUGCUCCUUCAGCUGAGAUACUACAAUACGAUUAGAGCAAGAAACAAGUUUGAUUUUAUCUCUUAACUUUAGAUGAUUUCAUUAAGUUGUAUUUUCUAUGUUUGAAACAGUUUAAGUUGGUAAUCACGCCUCUAUUCUAGUGAUUUGCUGACAAGGUUGGAGCUCUUUUGCUCUGUGAUAUGGGUCAUAUCAGUAGUCUCGUUGUUGCUCAUGUAUAUUGUCACCUACUCCCUAUGUGCAUCGCUCUUGUUCUCCAUGUAUCUUUUCAUUUAGUUAGAUAUGGAAUUUUGUUUAGCAUUUUGAAUGGUUUAGAACAAAGAUCUUGAUUUGUGGAACUCUGAUAUCAAGCACAAGUAUAUAAAUCUCAGGUUUCUUCAUUCUGACUUUUGUUGUCUCAUAUAUGUCUGCAUUUAUGUUUCAAAUCUAGUAUUUUAGGAUGUAUUAUCAAUUGAGCUUCUUCCCAAUAACCAAUAUUGCAUUGUUAAAGUAUUUGAUUUCACUUGUGUUGUCUCAUUUAACUCUCCUUGUUUUUAGUUUUCAACUGCUUUAAGCAUGUGUAGUGAGAGUUUGAAGGUUUGCUUCUCGACGUUGCUGGACUUUUGCUUCUUGAGAUAUCAACGAUUUGGAAACGUUCUUAUAAAGGUGUGGAAUGGAAGCCAUGUGUGAACAAGUCUACUGGAGGUAUUAAGUAAAGGCGAUGAAGGACGAGGAUGGUGUGGCUAGAGCCGUGAAGAUCCGGUUGUUGGUGUUACGAGUUCAACGGAAGAUUCAGUUGGUGGCUCUUAGAAUGUUAUUAUUUUGUUUCAAUACUUAGUUGUACUUAAGAUAUUAGUAUAAGACUUGGUAUGAUCUUAUGUAUGACAUUUUUUUGGU